GGUAUUUUGACUAUACGAAGGUAUUGAAAUAAGGCUUUAAAUGGGUGCUAAGAGAAUGGUUUAACAAUUAUCAGCUUUCUUUAAUUAAAUAAUUGAAUUUAAUUUUUUUUGUGAAGAAGCAAAAAUGUAAAUUAGGGACAAGAAGACCCUAUGAAUUUUUAUUAUUAUUAAAUAAAAAAUUUUUUAAUAAUAAUUUGAUUGGGGUGAUAUAAAAAGAAUAUUUAUCUUUUUGUAAUAAUUUAAUUUGAUCCGUUAAUAACGAUUAUUUGAAAAAAAUACUCUAGGGAUAACAGCGUAAUAAUUUUGGAUAGUUCACAUAGAUAAAAUAGUUUGCGACCUCGAUGUUGGAUUAGGAUUCUUUUUUGGUGAAGAAAUUAAAAUUAAGAAGUUUGUUCAACUUUUAAAUUCCUA
Molecule: ribosomal RNA, 411 nt
Filed under: Ixodes auritulus
Lineage: Eukaryota; Metazoa; Arthropoda; Arachnida; Ixodida; Ixodidae
Description: partial large subunit ribosomal RNA
Source: RNAcentral